This is a long non-coding RNA of Cyprinus carpio carpio, 1389 nucleotides long. The record is from Ensembl. Lineage: Eukaryota; Metazoa; Chordata; Actinopteri; Cypriniformes; Cyprinidae.
GAGACAGUGGUAAAUGUGUCAUCUUUCUCAAAAAAAGCAGGAAAAACAUAUGCAUAAAUAGUCUGACAUCCGUCAGUGUCAGGAAGAAUGGACAUUCAUCCUUUAUUAUGCCCAUUUUUAAUAUCACAUAUUUUCAAUAUAUAUAUAUAUAUAUAUUUUUUUUAAUAGACAGCUCUUUUGAAGGAAGAUUUGCAAUUCGUCCCCUAACCAUGGCAAAAUGAAUUAAUAGGCCAGUUUCUAUGAUGUCAUCAGACCUGAUCCUCUUAGUGAAGCGUCUGUGGCGUUGCCUGAGUCAGUCAGCCUCCAUCAUUUUUUCCAGCCCAAGCCUUUCCCCAAAGACCUGCCCGUCCACCAGCCAGUAAUAGACUGGGACAGGCCUCUCCAGAGACCCCAUGCUGCCCUGAGGCUGAGGUACCAAACACCUUUCACCAUGAUACUCUUGAUGUUUCUCAACUGUUCCAACUAACACCGGCCUAUCUGAGCCCCUAAACUAACAAAUGUCACCCUCUGUUUCCCUUCUCUUUAGUGUCCUCUCUCUUGGGACACAGCGCAGUAGUAAAGGAAUGUCCAUGUGUAGUUUUCUAAUUAACAAGCUGUGUUCCUGCAACCCUUGAGCUCCUGCUGUUGGUUUUAUUGUGUUUUGAGAUAUCCAGACCCUCGCUGGGUGACUUUAAUGGAAAUGAUGCCAUUCUGUUGGAAAUUGCUCCAUCUUUGCAAUACGAGUAGGUCAAGAUCGCUGUGAUUGAGAACUGAGUGGAAAUAAUAAGGAACAAAAACGUGCUGCUUCCUGAUUGAUGUUCAGGAAUUUCAGUCAUACCUGUGCAGGAAUAUCAAAGCUAUUUAUAUAAUGGAACAUGUUGCAUAAUAACGGGUGUAUUACUGGAAUUAUUGUGUCCUUCUGGGAAAGUCCAGCUGAAAAAAGUGUUGUUGCUACACACACAAUGUCCUGUCCUUUAAAUGUGUGUCAAUGCAGAGUUGAUGUUCAGUUAAUUAUCAAUAAGCAAGACAAUACAUUUUACUUUCAGGAAGGAGCACGGAGCCAAGGAUAAUCGCAAUAGUCUUUAUUAAUGCAACACAGGGGUAAAUCCAACAUGGAGAACAGGAGGAAGACACACGUACUUGACUGGUAGACCCGACAAAACUGAACUGAAAAGGACUAGGGUUUUUAAAGGCAGGAUAAUUGGGGAAGAAUGAGACACACCUGGGAUCAAAUUAACACAAUCAAUUGGAAGACAAAACUGGGUCACAGGGGCAAAAACACAAACAGACCAGUCCAUAAUCCUGACAUAGCGCCCCCUCCCGAAAGUUGCGUCCUCGCACAGUAGUAACAACAGAGGGAGGUGUGGGUGGGAACUUGGGAGGUUCCGGUGGAGGAUGGACCCCCGGGAG